RNAcentral lists this non-coding RNA (47 nucleotides) under Serratia sp. (in: enterobacteria). RNAcentral describes it as "Serratia sp. Guanidine-II sequence". It matches the Rfam family "Guanidine-II riboswitch aptamer (mini-ykkC)". Rfam says of the family: Simpler in structure and has fewer highly conserved nucleotide positions than the ykkC-yxkD leader. Despite this each of its two stem-loop structures directly bind free guanidine. Therefore, mini-ykkC RNA motif represents a distinct class of guanidine-sensing RNAs. The record is from RNAcentral. Lineage: Bacteria; Pseudomonadati; Pseudomonadota; Gammaproteobacteria; Enterobacterales; Yersiniaceae. RNAcentral also lists the same sequence under 1 other name.
CAGAUGGGACGACCCACCUGCGCUUCUUUUAUCCGGGGACGACCCUA